UACGUAGGGUGCGAGCGUUAAUCGGAAUUACUGGGCGUAAAGCGUGCGCAGGCGGUUUUGUAAGCCAGAUGUGAAAGCCCCGGGCUUAACCUGGGAAUGGCAUUUGGGACUGCAAGGCUUGAGUGCGGCAGAGGAGACUGGAAUUCCCGGUGUAGCAGUGAAAUGCGCAGAUAUCGGGAGGAACACCUAUGGCGAAGGCAGCUCGCUGGGACGUUACUGACGCUGAGACGCGAAAGCGUGGGGAGCAAACAGG
Molecule: ribosomal RNA, 253 nt
Filed under: uncultured bacterium
Lineage: Bacteria
Description: partial 16S ribosomal RNA
Rfam family: Bacterial small subunit ribosomal RNA
Source: RNAcentral